Molecule: ribosomal RNA, 3008 nt
Filed under: Salmonella enterica subsp. enterica serovar Derby
Lineage: Bacteria; Pseudomonadati; Pseudomonadota; Gammaproteobacteria; Enterobacterales; Enterobacteriaceae
Also listed under: 1 other name
Description: 23S ribosomal RNA
Rfam family: Bacterial large subunit ribosomal RNA
Source: RNAcentral
GGGUUGUGAGGUUAAGCGACUAAGCGUACACGGUGGAUGCCCUGGCAGUCAGAGGCGAUGAAGGGCGUGCUAAUCUGCGAUAAGCGCCGGUAAGGUGAUAUGAACCGUUAUAACCGGCGAUACCCGAAUGGGGAAACCCAGUGUGAUUCGUCACACUAUCAUUAACUGAAUCCAUAGGUUAAUGAGGCGAACCGGGGGAACUGAAACAUCUAAGUACCCCGAGGAAAAGAAAUCAACCGAGAUUCCCCCAGUAGCGGCGAGCGAACGGGGAGGAGCCCAGAGCCUGAAUCAGCAUGUGUGUUAGUGGAAGCGUCUGGAAAGGCGCGCGAUACAGGGUGACAGCCCCGUACACAAAAGCGCAUGUGCUGUGAGCUCGAUGAGUAGGGCGGGACACGUGGUAUCCUGUCUGAAUAUGGGGGGACCAUCCUCCAAGGCUAAAUACUCCUGACUGACCGAUAGUGAACCAGUACCGUGAGGGAAAGGCGAAAAGAACCCCGGCGAGGGGAGUGAAAAAGAACCUGAAACCGUGUACGUACAAGCAGUGGGAGCACAGGUUUACCUGUGUGACUGCGUACCUUUUGUAUAAUGGGUCAGCGACUUAUAUUCUGUAGCAAGGUUAACCGUAUAGGGGAGCCGCAGGGAAACCGAGUCUUAACCGGGCGUUAAGUUGCAGGGUAUAGACCCGAAACCCGGUGAUCUAGCCAUGGGCAGGUUGAAGGUUGGGUAACACUAACUGGAGGACCGAACCGACUAAUGUUGAAAAAUUAGCGGAUGACCUGUGGCUGGGGGUGAAAGGCCAAUCAAACCGGGAGAUAGCUGGUUCUCCCCGAAAGCUAUUUAGGUAGCGCCUCGUGAAUUCAUCUCCGGGGGUAGAGCACUGUUUCGGCUAGGGGGCCAUCCCGGCUUACCAACCCGAUGCAAACUGCGAAUACCGGAGAAUGUUAUCACGGGAGACACACGGCGGGUGCUAACGUCCGUCGUGAAGAGGGAAACAACCCAGACCGCCAGCUAAGGUCCCAAAGUCAUGGUUAAGUGGGAAACGAUGUGGGAAGGCCCAGACAGCCAGGAUGUUGGCUUAGAAGCAGCCAUCAUUUAAAGAAAGCGUAAUAGCUCACUGGUCGAGUCGGCCUGCGCGGAAGAUGUAACGGGGCUAAACCAUGCACCGAAGCUGCGGCAGCGAACGUAUCACUUAAAGCGAUUCAGCGGGUUACGAUUGACGGAGCGAAGCGACGUCAAAGCGUAUACAAAGUCGAGUCGGUUUAAGGAUACGUUCGUUGGGUAGGGGAGCGUUCUGUAAGCCUGUGAAGGUGUGUCGUGAGGCAUGCUGGAGGUAUCAGAAGUGCGAAUGCUGACAUAAGUAACGAUAAAGCGGGUGAAAAGCCCGCUCGCCGGAAGACCAAGGGUUCCUGUCCAACGUUAAUCGGGGCAGGGUGAGUCGACCCCUAAGGCGAGGCCGAAAGGCGUAGUCGAUGGGAAACGGGUUAAUAUUCCCGUACUUGGUGUUACUGCGAAGGGGGGACGGAGAAGGCUAUGUUGGCCGGGCGACGGUUGUCCCGGUUUAAGCGUGUAGGCUGGUUUUCCAGGCAAAUCCGGAAAAUCAAGGCUGAGGCGUGAUGACGAGGCACUACGGUGCUGAAGCAACAAAUGCCCUGCUUCCAGGAAAAGCCUCUAAGCAUCAGGUAACAUCAAAUCGUACCCCAAACCGACACAGGUGGUCAGGUAGAGAAUACCAAGGCGCUUGAGAGAACUCGGGUGAAGGAACUAGGCAAAAUGGUGCCGUAACUUCGGGAGAAGGCACGCUGACACGUAGGUGAAGUGAUUUACUCAUGGAGCUGAAGUCAGUCGAAGAUACCAGCUGGCUGCAACUGUUUAUUAAAAACACAGCACUGUGCAAACACGAAAGUGGACGUAUACGGUGUGACGCCUGCCCGGUGCCGGAAGGUUAAUUGAUGGGGUCAGCGCAAGCGAAGCUCCUGAUCGAAGCCCCGGUAAACGGCGGCCGUAACUAUAACGGUCCUAAGGUAGCGAAAUUCCUUGUCGGGUAAGUUCCGACCUGCACGAAUGGCGUAAUGAUGGCCAGGCUGUCUCCACCCGAGACUCAGUGAAAUUGAACUCGCUGUGAAGAUGCAGUGUACCCGCGGCAAGACGGAAAGACCCCGUGAACCUUUACUAUAGCUUGACACUGAACAUUGAGCCUUGAUGUGUAGGAUAGGUGGGAGGCUUUGAAGUGUGGACGCCAGUCUGCAUGGAGCCGACCUUGAAAUACCACCCUUUAAUGUUUGAUGUUCUAACGUGGACCCGUAAUCCGGGUUGCGGACAGUGUCUGGUGGGUAGUUUGACUGGGGCGGUCUCCUCCUAAAGAGUAACGGAGGAGCACGAAGGUUGGCUAAUCCUGGUCGGACAUCAGGAGGUUAGUGCAAUGGCAUAAGCCAGCUUGACUGCGAGCGUGACGGCGCGAGCAGGUGCGAAAGCAGGUCAUAGUGAUCCGGUGGUUCUGAAUGGAAGGGCCAUCGCUCAACGGAUAAAAGGUACUCCGGGGAUAACAGGCUGAUACCGCCCAAGAGUUCAUAUCGACGGCGGUGUUUGGCACCUCGAUGUCGGCUCAUCACAUCCUGGGGCUGAAGUAGGUCCCAAGGGUAUGGCUGUUCGCCAUUUAAAGUGGUACGCGAGCUGGGUUUAGAACGUCGUGAGACAGUUCGGUCCCUAUCUGCCGUGGGCGCUGGAGAACUGAGGGGGGCUGCUCCUAGUACGAGAGGACCGGAGUGGACGCAUCACUGGUGUUCGGGUUGUCAUGCCAAUGGCACUGCCCGGUAGCUAAAUGCGGAAGAGAUAAGUGCUGAAAGCAUCUAAGCACGAAACUUGCCCCGAGAUGAGUUCUCCCUGAGACUUUAGGUCUCCUGAAGGAACGUUGAAGACGACGACGUUGAUAGGCCGGGUGUGUAAGCGCAGCGAUGCGUUGAGCUAACCGGUACUAAUGAACCGUGAGGCUUAACCUUACAACGCCGAAG